UACGUAGGGGGCAAGCGUUAUCCGGAUUUACUGGGUGUAAAGGGAGCGUAGACGGCAGUGCAAGUCUGGAGUGAAAGGCGGGGGCUCAACCCCCGGACUGCUCUGGAAACUGUACGGCUGGAGUGCAGGAGAGGUAAGUGGAAUUCCUAGUGUAGCGGUGUAAUGCGUAGAUAUUAGGAGGAACACCAGUGGCGAAGGCGGCUUACUGGACUGUAACUGACGUUGAGGCUCGAAAGCGUGGGGAGCAAACAGG
This 253-nucleotide ribosomal RNA is filed under the name uncultured bacterium. RNAcentral's name for it is "partial 16S ribosomal RNA". It matches the Rfam family "Bacterial small subunit ribosomal RNA", at positions 524 to 776 of the family's 1533-position model. The record is from RNAcentral.